UUACGGUCAUAUCAAAAUGAAACAUCUGUUCCCCUCCGAUCACCAAAGUUAAGCAACGCCGAGCCUUGUCAGUACUUAAAUGGGAAACCGCUUGGGAAUACUAGGUACUGUAAG
Acanthosepion pharaonis is the source of this 114-nucleotide non-coding RNA. NCBI's taxonomy places the organism in Eukaryota, Metazoa, Mollusca, Cephalopoda, Sepiida, Sepiidae. The record is from the annotation of a GenBank genome assembly.